GACGAACGCUGGCGGCGUGCUUAACACAUGCAAGUCGAACGGAAAGGCCCUGCUUUUGUGGGGUGCUCGAGUGGCGAACGGGUGAGUAACACGUGAGUAACCUGCCCUUGACUUUGGGAUAACUUCAGGAAACUGGGGCUAAUACCGGAUAGGAGCUCCUGCUGCAUGGCGGGGGUUGGAAAGUUUCGGCGGUUGGGGAUGGACUCGCGGCUUAUCAGCUUGUUGGUGGGGUAGUGGCUUACCAAGGCUUUGAUGGGUAGCCGGCCUGAGAGGGUGACCGGCCACAUUGGGACUGGGAUACGGCCCAGCCUCCUACGGGAGGCAGCAGUGGGGAAUAUUGCACAAGGGGCGGAAGCCUGAUGCAGCAACGCCGCGUGCGGGAUGAGGGCCUUCGGGUUGUAAACCGCUUUCGCCUGUGACGAAGCGUGAGUGACGGUAAUGGGUAAAGAAGCACCGGCUAACUACGUG
RNAcentral lists this ribosomal RNA (468 nucleotides) under uncultured bacterium. RNAcentral describes it as "partial 16S ribosomal RNA". It matches the Rfam family "Bacterial small subunit ribosomal RNA", at positions 28 to 507 of the family's 1533-position model. The record is from RNAcentral.